RNAcentral lists this long non-coding RNA (1375 nucleotides) under Salvator merianae (Argentine black and white tegu). RNAcentral describes it as "lncRNA (ENSSMRG00000002750.1)". The record is from RNAcentral. Lineage: Eukaryota; Metazoa; Chordata; Lepidosauria; Squamata; Teiidae.
AAAGGCGGGAGAGGCUGUUACUUUCUUCUUUCCGAGUCCCAACUAAUAGCUCAUGAAUACGGCUGGGGGUGAAGGAGCCGGGGCCUCACUCGGAGGGGAGUGAUUUACGAGGGAGAGGCGUAUUAAAUCCUGGGCCUGGGUGCUGCNGCAGCCAAGCUCUCCUGCAGUAAAUCACCUUGGCUUAAUGCAUUCCUGCCGCAUGGGGCGAGAGCAACCCCGAGUAAUUUACACUCCGCUGUGCGUGUAAUGUCCGGCGUGCGGCUACAGAGCUAAAUAUGCUGUUUGUCCACAGCACCGGGCGUGCUGCUGUCCUUCAAUCACACGCUCUGUUUCUUGCAAUAACACCCCCCCCGAGCCCCCCCUCCACCUAGACAUACAAGUGUAGGAUGGGCCGCAACGGUUCAUCUUUUUCCCUUUUUCCUGCUCAAAGGAAAUCAGUUUUCUGCUUUUCUGCAUAAUGCAGUAUUGCGUCCAAGUACGGUAUGCGCUUACCCUGGGGCAGGGGCCUUAAUGGAAGAAAUGCCUCCGCUCCGGGGGGGCUGCUGGCUAAUGGCACAGGAUGGUCAUCAGGACACCACGCCCUGAGUACGGAAGGAGGCCACGGCAGCCCUAAGGCGUCCCGACGGGCACCAAAGCCGGAGCAUGAGCACAGACGUGAGGAUGAGGAUGGAGAAGGCCUCGUGCAGCUCCCUCCUGGUGCCAAGCAAGGGGUGGGCGUGAGCAAACUGGAACACUCGCCCCCUUGCACAGGAUACCAGCACAGUACUGCAGCGUGCCCCUCCAAACCAACAUGCGGGGAGAGAGCCACAGCCUGGGCAGUUCAGGGUCACGACUCCAGGGAGGGUGGAAGGGACAUGGAUAAGCAAGCUUCGCCUCUGGACCCAGCAAAAGACUCGAGCCUCUUUUGCUUCACCUUCUGGUUCAGCCUUCAGAUCCUGGAAUCCUAGAACCAGGGGCGGUUGAGCCCGUGGGGUCCAUCUCCUUCUCCGCGCAGGAUCCAAACCAAAGAACCUCCAGGAAAUGCUGUCCAGCCUCUGGAGGGAGAGAGGAGGCAACGGCCUCCACAGCCUGGGGCUCCAACUGCCGAGCUGCUCUGCCUGCAAGGAAGGGACUUGCUUCUGCCCAGGGAUCUACCUUGGGGCAACUGGCCUCCAUUAUCCUGCCUUCUGCUGCUGAGACAAAGCUCCCCUCACAGUGCAGAAGGAUCAGACCUGUUCUCACUUGCACAAGGAAGGACUAGAAGCAACGGGAUGAAACUGCAGGGGAAAAGAUUCAGAUUAGAUGUUAGAAAAAAAAUUAUGACAGUAAGGACGAUCAACCAGUGGAAUAGGUUGCCGCAGGAGGUGGUGAGUUCCCCUUCGAUGGAGGUCUUCAA